This 242-nucleotide ribosomal RNA is filed under the name uncultured bacterium. RNAcentral describes it as "partial 16S ribosomal RNA". It matches the Rfam family "Bacterial small subunit ribosomal RNA", at positions 528 to 770 of the family's 1533-position model. The record is from RNAcentral.
UAGGGAGCAAGCGUUGUCCGGAUUUACUGGGUGUAAAGGGUGCGUAGGCGGACGAUCAAGUCAGCGGUCAAAUGUCGGGGCUUAACCCCGGCCUGCCGUUGAAACUGGUUGUCUUGAGUGAGCGAGAGGUAUGCGGAAUGCGUGGUGUAGCGGUGAAAUGCAUAGAUAUCACGCAGAACCCCGAUUGCGAAGGCAGCAUACCGGUGCUCAACUGACGCUGAUGCACGAAAGCGUGGGGAUCA